RNAcentral lists this ribosomal RNA (460 nucleotides) under uncultured bacterium. Its description in RNAcentral is "partial 16S ribosomal RNA". It matches the Rfam family "Bacterial small subunit ribosomal RNA", at positions 338 to 795 of the family's 1533-position model. The record is from RNAcentral.
CCUACGGGUGGCAGCAGUGAGGAAUAUUGGUCAAUGGACGAGAGUCUGAACCAGCCAAGUAGCGUGAAGGAUGACUGCCCUAUGGGUUGUAAACUUCUUUUAUAUGGGAAUAAAACGUUCCACGUGUGGGAUUUUGUAUGUACCAUAUGAAUAAGGAUCGGCUAACUCCGUGCCAGCACCCGAGGUAAUACGGAGGAUCCGAGCGUUAUCCGGAUUUAUUGGGUUUAAAGGGAGCGUAGGUGGAUUGUUAAGUCAGUUGUGAAAGUUUGCGGCUCAACCGUAAAAUUGCAGUUGAAACUGGCAGUCUUGAGUACAGUAGAGGUGGGCGGAAGUCGUGGUGUAGCGGUGAAAUGCUUAGAUAUCACGAAGAACUCCGAUUGCGAAGGCAGUUCACUGGACUGCAACUGACACUGAGGCUCGAAAGUGUGGGUAUCAAACAGGAUUAGAUACCCCGGUAGUC